GCCUCAGUAACGGCGAGUGAAGCGGCAACAGCUCAAAUUUGAAAUCUGGCUCUUUCAGGGUCCGAGUUGUAAUUUGUAGAAGAUGCUUUGAGUGUGGCUCCGGUCUAAGUUCCUUGGAACAGGACGUCAUAGAGGGUGAGAAUCCCGUACGUGACUGGGUGCCUCCGCUCAUGUAAAGCUCUUUCGACGAGUCGAGUUGUUUGGGAAUGCAGCUCAAAAUGGGUGGUAAAUUUCAUCUAAAGCUAAAUAUUGGCCAGAGACCGAUAGCGCACAAGUAGAGUGAUCGAAAGAUGAAAAGCACUUUGGAAAGAGAGUUAAACAGUACGUGAAAUUGUUGAAAGGGAAGCGCUUGCAACCAGACUUGCAUGCAGUUGAUCAUCCGAGCUUUUGCCCGGUGCACUCGAUUGUAUUCAGGCCAGCAUCGGUUUCGGUGGGCGGAUAAAGGCCUUGGGAAUGUAGCUUCUUUCGGGGAGUGUUAUAGCCCUCGGUGCAAUGCGCCCUAUCGGGACCGAGGACCGCGCUUCGGCUAGGAUGCUGGCGUAAUGGUUGUAAGCGACCCGUCUUGAAACACGGACCAAGGAGUCUAACAUCUAUGCGAGUGUUUGGGUGUCAAACCCAUACGCGUAAUGAAAGUGAACGGAGGUGAGAACCCUUAAGGGUGCAUCAUCGACCGAUCCUGAUGUCUUCGGAUGGAUUUGAGUAAGAGCAUAGCUGUUGGGACCCGAAAGAUGGUGAACUAUGCCUGAAUAGGGUGAAGCCAGAGGAAACUCUGGUGGAGGCUCGCAGCGGUUCUGACGUGCAAAUCGAUCGUCAAAUUUGGGUAUAGGGGCGAAAGACUAAUC
This 842-nucleotide ribosomal RNA is filed under the name Hyaloscypha vitreola. Its description in RNAcentral is "LSU rRNA". It matches the Rfam family "Eukaryotic large subunit ribosomal RNA", at positions 77 to 936 of the family's 3401-position model. The record is from RNAcentral. Lineage: Eukaryota; Fungi; Ascomycota; Leotiomycetes; Helotiales; Hyaloscyphaceae.